GCCCAGGUAGCUCAGCCGGUAGAGCAGGAGUCUGAAGAGCUCCGUGUCGCUGGUUCGACUCCAGCCCUGGGCA
This 73-nucleotide transfer RNA is filed under the name Myxococcaceae bacterium. RNAcentral describes it as "tRNA-Phe". It matches the Rfam family "tRNA". Rfam says of the family: Transfer RNA (tRNA) molecules are approximately 80 nucleotides in length. Their secondary structure includes four short double-helical elements and three loops (D, anti-codon, and T loops). The record is from RNAcentral. Lineage: Bacteria; Pseudomonadati; Myxococcota; Myxococcia; Myxococcales; Myxococcaceae.